Non-coding RNA from Pelobates cultripes (western spadefoot toad), 218 nucleotides. The record is from the annotation of a GenBank genome assembly. Lineage: Eukaryota; Metazoa; Chordata; Amphibia; Anura; Pelobatidae.
CAUGCUUCCCUUACACACAGAGAAACACACAAUGCAUCCAUUACACACAAAGACAAUGCAUCCUUUGCACACAUACACAGAAACAGACAAUGCAAACCCGUACACACGCAUGCAAACACACACACUUCUUUUCUUACAUACACACAGAAACACAAUGCAUCUCAUGCACACACAUACAGACACACACCUUGCAUCCCUUAUGCAUACAAACACAGAUU